Molecule: long non-coding RNA, 33306 nt
Filed under: Gossypium barbadense (sea-island cotton)
Lineage: Eukaryota; Viridiplantae; Streptophyta; Magnoliopsida; Malvales; Malvaceae
Description: long non-coding RNA (GBAR_LNC002893)
Source: RNAcentral
GUUGCCAAUUCCCUCCGAGCCAAAGAUCGAGCAUAUCAGAGUUUUUAGAGCAAGUGAAGAAACAAGGCAAUGUGGCUAGGAAAUUUUUGUAACUGUUGGAAAAAUGAGAACUUUGUGUAAUAGACUAUGUUGAUAAAUGAAAUGCCUAAAUAUGGGGCUAUCUUGAAAUCAACACCAAUUUCUUGCAUUUCAUUCAUGACUGACAUUCAUUUGACAUUCAUGCAUUUAUUCAUGCAUCAAUUCAUUCAUUGCAUAUCCCAUACUCGUUCGCUGAGGUUAAAACGUACAAUUCGCAGUUGCAAGACUUCAAGACUGGAACCACGUCAUCCAUAUAAAACGCGCCGACAAGCUAGAGUAACGGAGAAUGAAUUCAAUAAGAGAAUUGAAAGGAUGGAAAGGGCUCAAAAGGAGUUACAAGAGCAACUGGCCAAAUCGCAACAAGAGACGAGAGACCUAAUGGUAAGAUCUCGAGAGGAAUCGCUCGAGCAAAGAGAUCAGAUGGCUAAAAUGAUGGAGAUGAUGACAACUUUGGUCAAAGGAAAAGGACCCAUGCAGAACUCCGAUGUUAUGGAACCUCGGUCAAGAAUUCACCAUGAUCAGGAUCCACUCUAUCCCCCGGGAUUCACUCCAUCGCCCGCAUAUACAAUACAAAGAGGGUAUACUCAAGAGGAACCCACUGGCUUGGAACAUCGACCUAUGCCACCUGCUCCACCCACUAAUUUGGGGCAAGGAAUGUUAGCGUCGAACCCAGGGGCUAGUCCUGCUAAUCCACUAGUUCUAGAUCUGGAUGACCCAGCAGAGGUAGCCAAGUUGAAAUUGGAUAACCAUGACGCAAAAUAUAGGAGUCUAGAGGAAAGACUCAAAGCAAUAGAAGGCACUGAAGUCUUCUCCGUACUAGGUGCCAAGGAACUCAGAUUGGUACCUGAUCUAAUUUUGCCUCCGAAGUUCAAAGUGCCUGAUUUUGAGAAGUAUGAUGGGACAAGGUGCCCAAAAGCACAUCUCAUUAUGUUCUGUCGAAAAAUGACCGGUUAUGUGAACGAGGAUAAACUACUCAUACAUUGCUUUCAAGAUAGUCUAACAGGGUCAGCUCUUCGGUGGUACAAUCAACUUAGUAGAGAAAAGAUUCGAACCUGGAAGGACUUGGCGUCAGCAUUUUGCGAGCAGUACAAGCAUGUAUCGGAUAUGGUGCCAGACCGUAUGACCUUGCAAAUGAUGGAGAAAAAGCCAUCAGAGACCUUUAGACAGUAUGCGCAGAGAUGGAGAGACGUCUCAGCUCAAGUGGAACCCCCACUAACAAAAACGGAGAUAACCGUUCUCUUUAUCAAUACUUUAAAGGCACCGUUUUAUGACAAAUUAGUGGGAAGUGCCACGAAAGAUUUCGCAGAUAUUGUAAUAUCCGGUGAACUCAUAGAGAAUGCCGUCAAGAGCGGUAGAAUGGAAGGAUCAGAAGGCUCAAGAAAAGCAGCACCCUUAAGGAAGAAAGAGCCAAAAGCCCACAUGGUGGGAACUGAGAGUCGUUACAUUCCCAAUUCGUAUCCUAACCAACCCCGACCUCGAAAUUAUCCACCCCCGAAUUCCUAUUAUCCCCCUCAAACCCCUUACUACCAAGCACCACAUCCGUCCUACCUCGUAUACGCCACGAACAACCAAAGACCCGUCACCACUUUCCCACAAAACACGGUACCCGCCCAAAGCCAAUCAAGGCAUAAUCCUGAAAGACCGCAAUUUACCCCUAUCCCUGUGUCGUAUGGGGAAUUGUACCUAAAACUUUUAGAAAAACAGCUAAUUUCUCCCCAUUACAUGGCACCCCUUAAACCUCCAUACCCAAAGUGGUACGAUCGAAACGCUAGUUGUGCAUACCAUGCAAGGAACCAAGGGCACUCUACUGAGAACUGUCUCGCUUUCAAAAGGAGAGUUCAAGGACUCAUUGACGCGGGUAUCCUACGAUUCGAUAGUGCUAGUAACGCCACGGGAAACCCGUUCCCUAACCAUACCGAAGGGAAUGUGAGCAUAGUGGGGAAAGAGGAUGAAUGGAAGGUCAGAAGAUGUGUGGCAGAAAUAAGGACGCCUCUACAGAAAAUCUGGGAGAUAUUGGUUAAGAAAGGAUUACUCUGUCACUCUGGUAGAGUUUUUGGAGAAGAAGGUCAAAGUUUUUGCAAUUUUCAUGGGAUUGUUGGGCACGACAUUUAGUCAUGCGAGGACUUUAAAAGGUUACUUCAAGACCGGAUGGAUAAUAAGGAGAUCAAUGUCCUUAACAAGAGUGAAGAUGCCAACGAAAGAGAAGUAUGCGUCUCUGAUAGCCAAUCAUCAGGGCCCCCUUAUAGUGCUGAUCGACCGUUGGUAAUUUAUUACGACGCGAUGAGAGAGCCAUUGAAACCACAGAUGGUAAUUGAAGUACCAUCUCCUUUCCCGUAUAAGGACAACAAAACAGUACCGUGGAAAUAUGAUGUUAACAUCGUUACACCGGAAGUUGAAAAGUCCAAAGCCAUAACUGAAGAUGUUGGGGAGGUAGGUCAUUUUACUCGAAGUGGACGAUGCUAUUCUAAAGAAGUUGAACCGGUAAAGAAAAGUAGCGACUCGAAGCAAAAAGGGAAAGCAGUGAUGUACGAGGUCGAAGUCGAGCAAGAAAUUCCACCCGUGCAAGAAACUAAAAAGCCUGUGAAUGAGGAAGAAGCUCAAGAAUUCUUGAAAUUUAUUAAGCACAGCGAAUAUAGUAUGGUGGAACAAUUGAGCAAGCAGCCAGCACGAAUCUCAGUUCUAUCUCUACUGUUAAAUUCAGAGCCACACCGGAACGCUUUAUUGAAGGUGUUAAAUCAAGCUUACGUGGCCAACAACAUAUCUGUCGAAAAGCUUGAUAGGUGGGUAAACAAUCUGAAUACGGACAACUUCAUCUCUUUUAGUGAUGAUGAGAUACCGCCAAAUGGUAGAGGCUCGGUGAAAGCGCUGCAUAUCACGACCCGCUGCAAGGGCUACAUAAUACCGAACGUACUCAUCGAUAAUGGGUCAGCGAUAAAUGUUAUGCCAUUGGCUACACUUUCCAGAAUACCGAUGGAUUUGUCCUACUUAAAUCCCUGUCAUUCCAUGGUAAGGGCAUUCGACGGGACGAAGCGCGAAGUCAUGGGAAAGAUCGAAAUCCCUUUGGAAGUGGGCCCCUACAUCUAUGAGGUCGAAUUCCAAGUCAUGGACAUUACACCCUCUUAUAACUACCUUUUGGGAAGACCUUGGAUUCAUUCUACUGGAGCAGUCCCAUCAUCCCUCCAUCAAAAGGUGAAAUUCAUCAUGGAUGGCUGUUUGGUCACAGUCGAGGGCGAAGAAGACAUCGUCGCAUCUAUCUCUGCUGAUGCGCCAUACCUGGAAGUAAGCAAGAGCGCAGUGGAAUGUUCCUUUUGAUCCCUUGAAUUCAUCAAUGCCACUUUCGUCGCUGAGAGAAAUAGAAUUCCGAUGCCAAAACUGUCGAGAAAUACCAGAAUGGGUGUCAAGUUGACCGUAGGAAGGGGAGAUCGUGCGAGAAGAGGUUUAGGGAGACAUCUGCAAGGAAUAGUGAGGGCUUUAAAGCCAGUGCACCACAAGGCCCGAUACGGUUUGGGGUUCCAGCCUGACAUGCACCAAAGAAGAAGACAGUGGAAGAAGGAUCAAGAGAGAAGAAUUGCAAGAACUUUGGGCCGAGAACCAGAAUGGGAACCAAUAGAGUACCCUCCUUUGUCAAAAAUAUUUACAUCUGCGGGAAUGAUGUACCCUGAACAAGAUGAUCCACGAAACAUGCUGGGAUUAAUUGAAAGGUAUUUUCAGAAUGUCAGUAUAAAUGUCAUUGACAAAGAAGCUGGUGCAAGUAAAGAUGUCUCGAGGAUACGCCCUUGCCCUCCUGGUUUCAUGUUGAACAAUUGGAUUGCUGAGAAGCUUCUUGUAGUUUAUAAGCCUUCAGAGUAAUGCUAAACAUCAACAUUCUAUUGUGUCCUUAGAUAUAAUAGAAUUCUUUUGUAAGAGUUUGCAUUCGCUCUUUAUCAUUUAAAUGAAUAUCAAUGAAGAUGCAUUUUGUCACGAUUUUUCGCAUUAUCACUAAUUUCAUAAUCAUUUUCUCAUUUCAUAGCCUAUCAUUACGUUUGCCUCAUUGCCAUGACAUAACAUUUGUUUGUUGUUUCCAAUACUUGGAUGCCCCCCUAUAGCUUCCUUUUCCAUUCAACUUUCAGGUGCUCAGAUAUUGACGACAUGAAUAAGCCCGUUACGAAUCUUGAAAUUGAUUUUGAGAAGGCUGUUUGCUUAGGAGAAUUUGAAGCCGAAGAAAAUGCUGAAGAUUAUGUCUCGUCUCCUGAAUUGUUAAGAAUGGUGGAACAAGAGGAUAAACAGGUUUUGCCUCAUGAAGAAUCUGUGGAAACAAUAAAUUUGGGCACUGAAGAGAGGAAACAAGAAGUGAAGAUUGGGACUUCUAUUUCAGAAAGUACUAGGCAUAAUUUGAUCACUUUACUCCGCGAAUACAAAGAUGUUUUCGCGUGGUCAUACCAGGACAUGCCAGGGCUAGAUGAAGAUUUAGUGGUCCAUAAGCUCCCAUUAAAGCCAGAAUGCAAGGCCAUCCAGCAAAAAUUAAGACAGAUGAGGCCCGAAAUGCUGUUGAAAAUAAAAGAGGUAGUCAAGAAGCAAUUUGACGCUGGCUUCCUACAAGCCUCCAAAUAUCCAGAAUGAGUGGCUAACAUAGUCCCGGUACCAAAGAAAGAUGGAAAAGUACGAAUGUGCGUGGAUUACCGUGACCUGAAUCGAGCAAGCCCAAAAGAUAAUUUUCCCUUGCCACAUAUUGACACGUUGGUGGACAACACAGCAAAACAUUCAUUGUUUUCUUUCAUGGAUGGAUUCUCGGGGUAUAAUCAGAUCAAGAUGGCCCUUGAGGAUAUGGAGAAAACUACCUUCAUAAUAAUGUGGGGAACGUUCUGCUACAAGGUGAUGCCAUUCGGGUUAAAGAAUACUGGGGCAACAUAUCAGAGGGCUAUGGUGACAUUAUUCCAUGACAUGAUGCAUAAAGAAAUAGAGGUCUACGUCGAUGAUAUGAUUGCUAAAUCUCGAGGAGAAGAAGAGCAUGUAAUGAACCUCAAGAAGUUGUUCGAAAGGCUGAGAAAGUUUCAGCUAAAGCUUAAUCCCGCCAAAUGUACAUUCGGGGCUACCUCGGGAAAGUUUCUAGGCUUCAUUGUCAGUGAAAGAGGUAUCGAAGUUGAUCCAGAUAAAAUAAAAGCCAUCCAAGAAUUACCACCUCCGCGCACGCAAAAAGAAGUUAGAGGAUUUUUAGGGAGAUUAAAUUACAUCGCCCGAUUUAUCACUCAACUUACCAACCAAUGCGACCCAAUCUUUCGGCUUCUUCGAAAACAUAACCCGGGAGAAUGGAACGAGGAAUGCCAAGUGACCUUUGAUAAGAUAAAAUAAUAUUUGUCCAGUCCUCCAGUGCUAGUACCGCCAACUCCGGGAAGACCAUUAAUUUUGUAUCUGACAGUGUUCGAAAGUUCAAUGGGUUGCGUACUGGGACAACAUGACGAGUCAGGAAAGAAAGAAAAGGCGAUCUACUACCUCAGCAAAAAGUUCACUGAAUAUGAGGCAAAAUAUUCGUCCAUUGAGAAAUAUUGUUGCGCUCUGGUUUGGGUAGCUCGGAGACUCAGACAAUAUAUGUUGUAUCACACGACAUGGCUAAUUUCAAAGCUGGACCCAAUAAAAUACAUGAUGGAAUCGCCGGCACUAUCAGGAAGAAUGGCACGAUGGCAGAUCCUCCUUUCGGAAUAUGACAUUGCCUAUGUAAGUCAGAAGUCGAUAAAAGGGAGCGCAAUAGCUGACUUCUUAGCAACUCGAACGACAGAGGAAUAUGAGCCUUUAAGAUUCGAUUUCCCAGAAGAAGACUUAAUGUGCAUCACAAAAAUAGAAUCCGAGUCAUCAAAAGAGAAGUCAUGGAAGAUGUGCUUUGAUGGUGCGUCAAAUGCUUUAGGGCAUGGAAUUGGAGCAAUCCUGGUAUCACCAGACGGGAAUCAUUAUCCGUUCACUGCAAGACUGAACUUCUUCUGUACCAAUAAUAUCGCAGAAUAUGAGGCCUGUAUCAUGGGGCUUCGUGCAACUAUCGAACGAAACAUCGAGAUCUUGGAGGUGUACGGGGACUCAGCCCUAGUGAUUUACCAAAUCCGUGGAGAAUGGGAAGUGGGGGACUCAAAAUUGAUUAAGUACAGCGAUUUAGUGGCUGGAUUGAUCAAGGAAUUCAAAGAAAUAACUUUUCAUUACUUCCCACGAGAAGAGAACCAACUGGCUGAUGCCCUAGCCACUUUGGCUUCAAUGUUCAAAGCAAGUAGAGAAGCAGAAAUAAUGCCCCUCAAAAUGAGCAUAUACGAGGUCCCUGCACACUGUUGUAGCAUUGAGAAAGAAGUAGACGGACGGCCUUGGUUCCAUGAUAUCUUAGAAUAUAUCAAGAAUCAAAGGUAUCCCGAACAAGCGAAUGAGAACGAUAAAAGAACAAUUAGAAGAAUGGCAGCGGGAUUUGUUCUUGAUGGGGAUAUCCUGUAUAAAAGAGGAAAGGAUCAGAUGCUUUUGAGAUGUGUGGAUGAUGUUGAAGCCAGAAAAAUACUUGAAGACGUCCAUGAGGGAAUUUGUGGAACGCAUGCCAAUGGUUUCAAUAUGGCCAGAAAGAUCAUGAGACUCGGUUAUUAUUGGCUGACAAUGGAAAGUGACUGCAUCAAUUUUGCCAUAAAAUGCCACAAAUGUCAAAUCUACGGCGAUAAAAUUCAUGUAGCCCCUUCACCCCUUCAUGUCAUGACUUCUCCGUGGCCUUUUUCUAUGUGGGGCAUGGAUGUCAUAGGGCCAAUUUCUCCAAAAGCUUCAAAUGGACAUCGAUUCAUUUUUGUGGUUAUCGAUUACUUCACAAAAUGGAUUGAAGCCGCUUCGUUUGCCAAUGUGACGAAGACUGCAGUGAGCAAGUUUUUGAAAAAAGAAAUCAUUUGCCGAUAUGGUUUGCCUGAAAGAAUCAUCUCAGAUAAUGCCACGAAUCUGAACAAUAAGAUGAUGAAAGAAGUGUGCGAGCAGUUCCAAAUAAAGCAUCAUAAUUCCUCGCCCUAUCACCCAAAGAUGAACGGGGCUGUUGAAGCAGCUAACAAGAACAUUAAGAGGAUCAUUGGGAAAAUGACUGAGACAUAUAAAGAUUGGCACGAGAAACUUCCAUUUGCUUUGUUUGCAUAUCGUACAUCUGUGCGAACAUCUACGGGAGCAACUCCUUUCUCUCUAGUCUAUGGAAUGGAAGCUGUGCUACCUAUCGAGGUUGAGAUCCCCUCUCUGCGAGUAUUGAUGGAAUCAAAGUUAGAAUAAGCAGAAUGGGUUCGAGCUCGAUAUGAUCAGUUGAACCUCAUUGAAGAAAAACGUCUAAGGGCAAUUUGUCAUGGGCAAAUGUACCAAAAGAGAAUGAUCGCAGCCCAUGACAAGAAGGUACGACCAAGAGAGUUCCAUGAAGGAGAACUCGUUCUGAGAAAGAUUCUCCCAAUACAAAAAGACUUGCGAGGAAAAUGGGCACCAAAUUGGGAAGGACCAUACGUUGUAAAAAAGGCAUUCUCGGGAGGAGCUUUGAUCCUUACCGAGAUGGAUGGGAAGGAGUUACCGAAUCCGGUGAAUUCAGAUGCGGUGAAGAAAUAUUAUGCUUAAGAUGAAAACCCGAAAAGGGCAUCUUAAAAAAAAAAGGAAGAAAAAAAAGGAAAAAGGGAUCAGGGCGAAAACCCGAAAAGGGCGUCUUGAUUAGUACAAAAAGAUCAGGAUGAAAACCCGAGAGGGCGUCCUAAUGAAACAAACCUGGCGGUCGAACGAUAGGUCAAGUAGUGAGACUACAGUAUUUGAAGCACUUCUGAAAGCUCGAAAUUUUCUACGCAAGAAGCCAUGCUCGAAAAGAUUAUUGAUUGAGGAACGUGGAAGAGUUCAUGUGUUGAAUAUCUAGAGCAUUUGUAUCCGUUGAAUACGACCUUUUCUUUCUUUUUGACAUUUUUACUCUCAUUGGUUAACUUUCUUUGUUUGCCGCAUUUAAAAUAAAGGAAUAUGAGAUAUCCUUUUUGUCCCUACCUGACCAUUUUCAUGCUUCUCAUUAUGUGUUUAUUUAAUGAUAAAUAGUGAAAUGACAUACUCUAAACAAAAGAAAUGUCAAGCAUUACCCGGAUAAGAAUUUGAUAAGUACAAGAUCUUCAAAGCAAGAACAAAGUUUAACCAAGGGCAAAAGGGUGAUAUCUGAGAAACGUCGAUUACUCGUAAAGCUCGAAGACAGGUAUGAAGCCUGAAGAGAAGGUCGAGAAUCAAAGCAAUGAACACAGAUCCUCAACAAUCAUGGCGAAAAUGACAUACGACCAAUAUGCUUAAGGAGCACUGCAUAAUCAUGUAGGCAUAAAGGCAUUUAAGACAAACAUGUGCAUAUCAUGAUGACAUCAUGCAUGGCAUAUACAGGUAAUCCAGUAAAGCAAGAAAUCUUGAAUGAGAGUCGCACUGAAUCAAAGGAAAAAAUACCCGAGUUCUACCAAAGGACUGGUUUUGGUAUUUUGAUGUUUAAUAUUCAUGCUUUCCAAGGAAAAUCAACUCAUAUUGCGAGAGAUGAGUUGAGCCUCAAGACACAUUGAGGUAUUUUUAAUUUUUUAAAAAAAUCAACUCAUAUUGGGAGAAGUGAGUUGAGCCUCGGGGCACGCCGAGGUAUUUUUAGUUUAUGUUUUAAAUUGACUCAUAUUGCGAGAAGUGAGUUAAGCCUUUUAAUUUUUGUUUUUCAAAAUCAACUCAUAUUGCUAGAGGUGAGUUGAGCCUCAGGACACGCUGAGGUAAUUUCAAUUUCUGUUGUCAAAAAAAUUAACUCAUAUUGCGAGAAAUGAGUUGAGCCUCAGGACAUGCUGAGGUAAUUUCAAUUUUUGUUUUUCAAAAUCAACUCAUAUUACUAGAGGUGAGUUGAGCCUCAGGACACGCUGAGGUAAUUUCAAUUUCUGUUGUAAAAAAAAAUCAACUCAUAUUGCGAGAAAUGAGUUGAGCCUCAGGACACGCUGAGGUAAUUUCAAUUUUUGUUUUUCAAAAUCAACUCAUAUUGCUAGAGGUGAGUUGAGCCUCAGGACACGCUGAGGUAAUUUCAAUUUCUGUUGUCAAAAAAAAAUCAACUCAUAUUGCGAGAAAUGAGUUGAGCCUCAGGACACGCUGAGGUAAUUUCAAUUUCUGUGGUAAAAAAAAUCAACUCAUAUUGCGAGAAAUGAGUUGAGCCUCAGGACACGCUGAGGUAAUUUCAAUUUUUGUUUUUCAAAAUCAACUCAUAUUGCUAGAGGUGAGUUGAGCCUCAGGACACGCUGAGGUAAUUUCAAUUUCUGUUGUCAAAAAAAUCAACUCAUAUUGCGAGAGGUGAGUUGAGCCUCAAGACACAUUGAGGUAUUUUCAAUUUCUGCUUUUCAAGAAAAUCAACUCAUAUUGCGAGAGGUGAGUUGAGCCUCAAGACACGUUGAGGUAUUUUCAAUUCCUGUUCAAUUUAUGUUUUUCAAAAAUCAACUCAUAUUGCGAGAGGUGAGUUGAGCCUCAGGACACGCUGAGGUAAUUUCAAUUUCUGUUUUUUCAAAAAUCAACUCAUAUUGCGAGAGGUGAGUUGAGCCUCGGGGCACGCCGAGGUAUUUUCAAAUUCUACUUUCAAAAAAAUCAACUCAUAUUGCGAAAGGUGAGUUGAGCCUUGGCUCACGUGUUGAGUCACUUUCAAUUUCUGUUUUUAUGUCUGUUUUCUAAAUCAACUCAUAUUGCAAGAGGUGAGUUGAGCCUCGGGGCACGCUGAGGUAUUUUCAAUUACUGUUUGGCAAAAACCAACUCAUACUGCGAGAGGUGAGUUGAGCCUCAGGACAUGCUGAGGUAUUUUCCAUUUCUGUUUUUCAAUUUAUGUUUUCAAAAAUCAAUUCAUAUUGCUAGAGGUGAAUGGAGCCUCAGGUCAUACGCCGAGGUAUUUUCAAUAGAUGUUUUUUCCAAUUCCUGCUUCUCAAAAAAAAAUUUUAACUCAUAUUGCGAGAAAUGAGUUGAGCCUCAAGACACGUUGAGGUAUUUUCAAGUUCUGCUUUUCAAAAAAAAAUCAACUCAUAUUGCGAGAGGUGAGUUGAGCCUCAGCUCUCACACUGAGGUAUUUUCAAUUUUUCGUUUUUUCAAUUUAUGCUUUUCAAAUUCUACUUUUCCAAAAUCAGCUCAUAUUGCAAGAGGUGAGUUGAGCCUCGGGGCACGCUGAGGUAUUUUCAAUUUUUGUGUUUUAAUUUCAACUCAUAUUACGAGAGGUGAGUUGAGCCUCGGGACACACGCCGAGGUAUUUUCAAUUAAGCCUUUUGAUUUUCUUUCAAAAAAAAAUCAACUCAUAUUGCGAAAAGUGAGUUGAGCCUCAGUUCACAUGUUGAGAUAUCUUUAGUUUUUGUUUUUAAUGUCUGUUUUUAAAAAGUCAAUUCAUAUUGCGAGAAAUGAGUUGGGCUCAAGAUCACAUGCCGAGUAAGAAUAAAGAUUGAAGUUAAUGAAAGACACCAGACUUGGUCUCUUUGAAGCUAUAGUGGAACCGGUCAAAAGUUGCAAGUCUUGUCUCCCUGAGGUCGCAGUGGAACUGAUCGAGGAUAUCAAAUCUUGUCUCGCUAGAGUUACAAAAGAGAAGAUCACGAAUCUCAUCUCACUGAAGUGAUAAAAGAGCAGAUUGAAACUGUAGAUCUUAUCUUUAUGAAGCUACAUGGAAGCAGAUCAAAGCCACAAAUCUCAUAUCCUUGAAGUUACAUUGGAGUAGAUCGAAGCUACAAGGCAUAUGUCAGAAGAUGUAGUGGAUUAAAUCUAAAGCUGAAAGAUGCAAUGGACUGGAAGAAGACUAUCUGAACAAGAAGAGCACCAAUGAAGUCAAGACUCGCAAGAUAGGGCAAAAUUGGCCUUUCUUUGUGUCUUUGCUCUAUUCUCGUUACACGACAAUGAGCAAAGAGGGGCAGCUGUAGUAGGCCAAUUUUGGCCCACUAAUACCAAGCCCAUUUCCCCCUCUUACAACCCAAACCCGAUUGAUCCAUUUCAAUACACUAAAACCCCUACCCAAACCUUAGCCCAACUACCCAAAACCCAACACUUGACCCAGGCCCAGAAGCCCAAACUCCAGACUUAGGGUUUCAGAAACCUUAGCCUACUCAGCCGCAACCCUCCCCACUUGUACUUAGCCCCAUACACUGCUCCACUAUAGCAGCCCCAUACCCCCACGCGUCUGACACCAUCUGCCGCUGCAUGCUCCUCCUCCACCACCAGCUCCUCCAUACCCUGCAAAGACAGAAGCAGACCAAACAGAAUAGGACAAAAGAUAAACAAUAUUUUCCUAGUUUUGUAGUCGGCUAUAAAGCUGAGAAAUAAGCAUUUGUAAAAGGGGGGAUUUUUGCGAUGAAAACAAAGAUUUUCUUUCAAUAUUAACAGAUUGAAUACAAGAACCAUUCGAAAUAUACAUAUACAAUCAGGGGCUCUAACACCAAAUCGGAGAAUCAAAUCUAAAACCUAAGGUGACUUUUUUUUUCUUUUUUUCUUUACUGUUUUGAGUUUGUUUUUUACAUAAAAAUACUAAAAAAUAUCAAAACAUAAAAACAUAUGUAUUAUUAAGCAAAAAAAAAAAGAAAUUUUACCUUUCCGGCCACCGCGUGCGGUGCCCGGCGCCGGCGCCGGCGAGCCUCCGGUGGCCGUCCGAUGACCGGCCCCUGGCCGGAGCUCUCCCCUUUCCCCGCUCCCUCUUUUCUCUCCCUCCUCUUCCCCUUUUUUUUUCUUUCUUCUCUUUCAAAUGAAAAAAAUAAAAAUUUUUAACUUAUAUAGGGGACCAAAACGGUGCGUUUUGGUCCCCCCCCUUUAACCAAUAAAACGACGCCGUUUCAAGGGUGGGUCGGGUCGACCCGACCCGCCCCAGCAAGGAUCCGCAUGUUUUUAAGAGCGGAAGGGCUAUUUGCGCAAUCAGCCCAUCUGCAUUUUUGGUGUUUUAAACUAGGUUUAUGUUUGUUUCUGAAUUGACCCCAGAAUUUUGCUCAGUUUUUAAUUUAAUCCCCGUAUAUGCGCAGCGUUUUAGAAAGUUUGAAAUUUUGCACUUUUAAUACCCCAUGGUUUUACCCGCAUUCAAAUAGGUCCUUUCCCCUUUAAUUUUUUUUUUAAAAUUCGCCCCAAAGCUUUGUUUUUAGUUCAUUUUUGGUCCUUUUUUUGUUUCCUUAUUUAAUAUGAUUAUUGUUAUUUCCAAUAUUAUAGUAUUAUUAUUAUUAUUACUAUAUAUUAGUAUACAUUUUUCUUUUACAUGUGAAUAUUGUAUAUAUUUAUAUAUAAUAUUAUUUUUAAUUAUUGUAUUUUAACAUUAUUAUUAUAUUAUAUAUACUUCUUCGUGUUUUAUUAUUAUUAUUAGUAUUAUUAUCAUUAUUCAUAUUAGCAUACAUAUGUUAUUAUAUAUAUACACAUUUCAUAUAGUAUUAUCUUUUUUACUAUUAUAUUUAUUAUUAUAUUCAUUGUUAAUACAUCUAUUUUUUAUACAUGUAUACAUACCCUUUUCGUAAUAUUAUUUUUUACACCUAUAUGUAUAUAUUUUAUUUUAUUGUUGCUAGUUAUGUACUUUUUUACUAUCUUAUACGUACUUCAAACACUAUACAUAUAGUAUAUUUCUAACACUACUACUAUUUAUAUAAAUAUUUUACGUAUAUACUCUUAAUUAUCUUCAUAUGUGUAUUCAUUGUAUCCUUGUUACGUUCUCGUAUUCAAUGCUAACAUUGCUUUUGAUCUUGCAUGCACGGUUAUUAUUUUCUAAUAUUAUGGUUAUGUUUGUUAUUCGUUUCAAAUGUAUCAAGUCGUUUCAUUUGCUUAUUUUCAUUUCGUAUCAAUUAUGUCUUGCAUUCUCUUGAAAAUUACGUUCCGGUUUUCUAAUUAAUUUCAAUAGUCAAGGCAAUAUAUCGAUUUAACAUUAAGUCAUCAAGUUCAUCGCUAUGUUGGGUGAACGUCAAUUGACUCGUGUUAAAGCGAUAUACCAUUCUAAAAGAAAAAACGGAAUAAACUAAAGUUUCUUGUUUUUUAAUCGGAUCACGACUAAAUUUUACAUUGAACCGUAUUUUUGAAAAUUAAGACAACAUGUGUUUAUGAGAUACCAAUUUUUGGGCGUCGCGAGGGUGCUAAUACCUUCCUUGCGCGUAACCGACUCUCGAACCCUAAUUUUCCUCUGGCUUUUAACGUAGACCUAAAUUCAGCCUUCCUUUUGUUUUAAAAAAAAAAGAAGUCUAACAGGUGUCCGGUCACACCUAGUAAAAAGGAUCGGUGGCGACUCCCUCUUUAUUUUAAAAUCGAACUUCAGUUUUCAAACUUUUUCACUAGAUCGCCACAAUUAGCGACCCCGGAACCAAUUUUUACGUCGCUACAAUAUUUAUAACAAUAAUUUUUUUCUAAAAAGUACUUGUGUUUUGAGCGAGAUGGAUCCUAGAGUUCUCAGGUUUCAACCGAGUGACAUUCUACAUUAUUCUCGUACCACGAAUCGUUUUGAGUGUGGGCUCGAACAAUUACGAAUCAAAUACAGAACCAAAAUUUUUUUUACUUUUAGUAGGAAAGCAAAUCUCUCUCUUAUGGAAACCGGUAGAAUUGUUAUUCCGAGAAAAUAAAAUUUAAAUUUAGAAAAUAAAUUAUCACUAUUUUGGGAUAGAAUAACAAUAUCUUACAGUGUGUUUUUAUCCCUACCAGUGCCAUCUAUUUAUAGGGAUAGAUAGAAGAACCCAAGUUGAAUUAGUAAAAUACAAAUAAUACUUAUCUGAUAGAAAAACUAGUCCAUUAGUUCAACUAGGAGAGAGAGGGUAAUAUUAGGCUUCUUAUGUAUUGGGUCCAAUUAUAUAUGCUUCAUGGGCUUUUAACUCAACACUUUAUAAUUUAAUCCAACUCAAUACAAGUUUUUCUAUUUCCCAAAAUAAUUAUUAUUUUUUAAUUUAAUUUAAACAAAUUAAUUUACCAAUUAAAUAAUUUUUUAACUUCGUUAUAGUCAUGAUAACUUUACCAUAAAAAAUUUAUGAGAAAAUAUAUUGAAUUUUCAUAUUCAAUGGAUUCACAAUGACCAAUUAAUUUAAUUCUAUUUUUUAACUUCAAUUAUUUAAUUAAAUAUUAAUUCGUAAAACUUAAAUUAAAUCUCAAGUCAUUUCCAUACUUAGUGAGAAGUCAUUUUAAUUUUUGAAUGUAACUCAUGACUCUAACUUUAUCAUUUCUAUCCAUUUUUGUUCAUUUGAUUCAAGAUACAAUUCAUUUUUGGUUCCAACAAGCUAGUGAAGGGACCGAUUGUGUAAUAUCCUGAUUUUGAGCCUAGUCGGAAUAGCGGUUUCGUGACCACAAAAUCUGAGACCUAGCUAUGAUACCAGCAAAUGUAACGCCCCGUACCCGAGACCGUCGUCGGAGUCGAACACGAGGUGUUAACAGACUUAAUUCAUUACUUAAACAGCUCAAACAAUUUAUUUUUAAAAUUUUCAAUCAAGCUAGCAAUCUGCAAUACAGUCGCUUAAAAAUUCAUAUCUCGAGUUCCAAAACUCUAAAUCCAAUUCCAUAAAUUUUCCCUGAAACUAGACUCAUAUAUCUAUUUACUAAAUUUUUUCUAGAAUUUUUGGUCAAGCAAAUUAGUACAGUUUAUUAGUUAAAGUCUCCCCUAUUUCAGGGUUUGACUGCUCUGACCUCUGUGUAUUAUGAAUUAGAUAUCUCCCUGUACAGAGUUUCAAUGACUAUUCCAUUUGUUUCUAAUAAAACUAGACUCAAUAAGAAAUCUUUACAUAUAAAUCAUGACUUAUAAUUAUCUUUUAACAAUUUAUGGUGAAUUUCCAAAGUCAGAAAAGGGGAUCCAGAAAUCGCUCUGGACCUGUUUCACAAAAAUUUAAACAUCUCAUAAAAUAUAACUCAUAUACCUGUUUUGUUCCAUCCAUAUGAAAAUAGACUCAUAAUUCUUCAAUUCCAUAUUUUAUUCACCAUCUAAUUGUAUCUCUACUAUUUUUAAUGAUUUUUCAAACUCACAUCACUGCUGCUGUCUGAAUCUAUUUUAUGGUAAAUUUUACCUAUUUCAUGGUUUCCAUGAAUUAGCUAGCAAUUUAGCAUACAUAACACCAAAUAUGAUCAUGAUUAGCCAUUCCAAUGGCUAAUCAUUACCAAGUAUUUCCAUACCACUCAAUAACCAUAUCAUAAGACCAUAUAUACAAAAUGAUUAUAAUGCUAUACAUGCCAUACUCAAAAUAUGCAAGCCAUUAUGCCAAGAUGGUAUACGGAUAUAGUGUGAGCAUGCCUCUGACCGUUCCCGAUUUCCGAGCUGGCUUGUCAACACUACAAGGAAUGAAAAGGAGGGAGUAAGCAUAAAUGCUUAGUAAGCUCACAUGCAAAUAGCAAGUAACACAACUAUAUACGCAAACAUAAAACAUCAUUUGCAUAAUCAUCACCGAGACAUUCAUAUCACAUUUUCAUUUAUCAUCUUACCAUAUUGUUGUUAUAUCAAGUUUUCAACCCGAGGUUAAGUACAUACCUGUUCAAAGUAUUCAUUUCACAACACUUACCAAUACGUCCCUUUCAUCUUGAGUAUUCCUCCAUUUGAGUAGAAUUUUACCCGUUGAACACAUCGGAAUAUAAUUCGGAUACAUGGAAAGUUUGCACAUAAGUGCCACAUAUGUAGCCAAGCUACUAUGUAACCCGCCCAUAAGCGAACUCGGACUCAACUCAACGAGCUCGGGCGUUCGCAUCCAUGAGUGAACUCGGACUCAACUCAACGAGUUCGGAUGCCUAGUUACAUCUCACGAACUCGGACUCAACUCAACGAGUUCGGACAUUGCAUCCAUAAGUGAACUCGGACUCAACUCAACGAGUUCGGAUGCUCAACCAUCCUAGUGACAUGUCACUUGUAUCCUAAUCUAUUCCUAAGGUUCAAACGGGCGUUUUCCUCUAUCACACAUCUUUGCCAUCUUCCACGGAAUAUCGAAAUUGAUACUUCGGUGAUAGUUCAUACUCAUCAAGUAAUUCACAUAAUUACAUAUUAUUCAACAAUAACCACAAAGCAUAAUAUUUCAUGAUAAUAAUCAGCAUCAUAUCAUAUAAACAACAUUAAAUUGCUUAAAAUGACAAUUAUGUUACAACAUUUAUACAUGAACUUACCUCGUAUGCGAAAAUGGCUACUUUUACCAUUUCAUCCACAACUUGGUAUUUUCCCCAUUUUAGCUCGAAUUUUAGUUUUCCUUGCUAAUCAAGCUUGGAAGCUUGAAAAACCCUAGCCAUGGUUUCUCCUUGCUAUAUUCGGCCAUGGGGUUGAAGAUGAGCAAAAUUGGCUUUUAAUUUUGUAUUUUAAUUCAUUUUACCCCUAAAUGACCAACAUGCCCUUACUACUAAACUUUCCAAAAAUUCCAUCCAUGUCCAAUUUUUGUCCAUAGACUUAGAAAUUGGUAAAAUUGCUAUUUAAGACCUCCUAAUUAAUAUUUCAAAACAAUUUCAUACUAGAAACUUCUAGAAUGCAAGUUUUACAAAUUAUUCGAUUUAGUCCCUAAUUUCAAUUUAAGCACUUUAUGCAUAAAAUUUCUUCACGAAAUUUUCACACAAUCAUGCAAUCAUAUCAUAGACCUUAAAAUAAUCAUAAAAUAAUUAUUUCUGUCUCGAAUUUUAUGGUCACGAAACCGCUAUUCCGACUAGGCCCAAAAUCAGGAUAUUACAGAUUGGACAUAUGUAAUUAGGGCUUAAACAGUGUAUAAUUAAGCUCCAACUUUUCACCUAUCAAUUAUAAACUCAUUUAGUCACAAAUUCAUUCCACUAUAGUAUCACGACUGAGCUCUCCCCAACUACAUACCAUUACCAAAGCUACUCGAUCAAUGCUCGUCCAAUGACCUUGUCAUAAUUGUAUCACCCUCAUAAGAUAUCCUUAACCUAUUUGGGAUAAAUCCGUUCUCCCAAUAUGAUCCUUUUUUAUUUCAUGGUAACUAUUACAUUUUCCUUCAUGAAAAGUCAAUUACUAUCAAAUAGUAAUUAAGCCAUUCAUCACAAAGACAAAUGACUCGUGAGUACGUUUACUUUUCAUCUAUCAUGUAAUGCCAAUAAGAGGAUAUCAUUUACUCACUUCUUGGUCUAUGGAUUCCACUAUUGUGAAUGAUGUUACAUACUGCAUAAGUCAUAUACCAAUGCAUUAGCUUUUUGGUUCCUUAUCUCCUUGAACUCAGACUUUUACUUAUGUCAAAGUAUAUGAGUCACACAUACAUAGUCAAUCAUGUACUCAGGAUUAAGGUAUGCCACAUUAUGAACGUCACAAGUGAAUAAAUUUAUAAAUAGAUUCAAGAUCUAUUUUACUUGGGUCUUGUCCAAUGUACUGUCAGUCCAGUCAGUCACAUCUAUGUAUCUAUCUUCUAGGAGUCAUUGCUCUAAUGCCCAAGACAAAGCAUUUCCCCAAUUGGGCUUGAUAGAUGUCAUAUUAAUGUUUCAAUCGGUUUGCUCAUUUCCAAUUAGAUUAAAGAUGUGUUUAGGUUCAUCUACUAAUACAAGAUGUCUUUUCGUAUUACGAUUUGACCAUGUAAUACCGCUUAAUAUUAGUUAAAUAUGAGAUAAUUAGUGAGCUAAUAUUUGCUUCUAUUUUACUUUGCGUGCAAAAACCAUUGUGGACAAUAUACCAAGGGUAUAUUUUAUUAACUUAUGGCAUAUUUUAACUUUUUGAAAGUUUAGAAUUUAGUCUUUAUACUUUUAUUUCUAGAAAUUUAAUCCAUUUAUUUUUCAGAUUUCAAAAUUAAAGUCUAACUAUUAAAUUUAUUUUUAUUAAAUUCAGAUUAAUUACAACGUCAUUUUUCUAAUUACAUGGCUACCAAGUGAGUAUUUUUUAAAUUUCAAAAUGUCACACCAACAAAUUUAAAAAAAAAUUUAACAAUGUUAACAAUUGGACUUGAAUUUUAAAAUUUGAAAAGUAAAGGGAUUAAAUUCAUAGAAAUAAAAGUAUAGGAACUAAAUUUUAAAUUUUCAAAAAGUACAAUGACACAUCAUAUAUUUUAGACAAAAAUAAUGAUAUGUAUAUAUAGAGGGGCGUAGCCAGGGGGGCUGGCAUGGGCCCCGGCCCCCCCUAAAAUGUAUUAUUAUAUUUUAGGCCCUUAAAAGUUUUUAAAAAUUUUAAAUUAGUAAAGGUAAAAUUGCACUUUGGUCCCCCUAAAAUUAUAAAAAUUUGAUUUAAUCCUUUACAAAUUAUAAAGAUAUAAACUAUAGAAAAUUAAAAUUUCAUCUGGCCCCCCUAAAAAAAUUUUCUGGCUUCGCCCCUGUUUAUAUAUGUAUAAUUGUAUAUAUGCUUUUAGCUAUUGAAAAUUUAUAAAAUUUUAAGUAAAUAAAUGGUAAAAUUAUAAUUUAGUCUCACAAAAAAAUAUAAUAGCAUAUUUUCCCCUAAACUUUGGCCAAUUUUCUAACGUGAUACUUAUACUUUCAAAAUGCCUGUAUUUGUAUCCGAACUUUUGCACCAUUAACCAAUCUAGUACCUCUGACGAUGUUAAUUCUAACAUGGCAGGGCGUGUGGCCCUCAAAAAUUGCAACAUGUAUCGCCUAUUUCAGCCAGGGGCCGUAUAUGAAACAUACCAUUAAGUAUUUUUACUAAAAAUUAAAAAUAAAAGAAAUAAUUGCUUUUUACUUCAAAUAGUUAUGAUUUCUUUUGCAGACACAUUGUUGACUUUCUUCUUCCUUCUUUACUUAUGGCAUUAUUUUAUUGUAUAUAUUUAAAUCAGAAAAUUUGUCAUUGUCUUCUUCCCGUAGAAUACUAUUGUUGGUGGAUUUGUGUGUUUCUGUAAAAUAAAUGGAUGGAGGAAGAUAUAGGUGUAGGAAAUCUAGUAUCUCAACCUCAAAUUCAUUUACAACAAGUCAGUCAAGGAAAACCAAGUGUUAUUGUAGUGUCCAAGCUCCGAUUUGUGUUUCACAAAUUCUAUGCGUGAGGUAAUGUCUUCUGCUUUAGUUUGUAUUUACUUGAUGAAACAGGUAAAUGUCUUUUUUUAGGGUUUAGGGUGUCAAUUUUUACAAUUUGACCAAAUUGAAAAGAACAACCAAACACCCAUACUUUUAGCGGCAAUUGUUUUAGCAGAGAAAAUAAAAAGAAUAAUUAUCUAUCAACUUUUUUAGAUUUGAAUCGGUAAUUGAAUUGGUUAAACUAUCAAUUUAUUGGUCUAAUUAAUUCAAUCGAUCCAUUUAGUUCAAUUAAACUAAAUCAUUACAAAAAUGAUUUAAUCGGUUCAUAUUGUUUCCGAUCCGAUCCAAUUAGUUUGACCAGCCAACCCAUUUCUAUUCAAACAACAAUGCUAUUCUCUUCUUCUUUUACUUAAAAUAUAUAAUCUAUUGGUCGAGUGUUCACCUUCCUUAAAAAUAACUUGAGUUUGAAACAUCAUUCUAUAUAUAUAUAUGAUUAAGCCCUAAAACUAUAUAUCAUCUUAUAUCUUACAAUUAAGGAGGAAAAAAAUUAAUUUAAUAUUUAGGUUACGUUUUAUUUGUUGAAUAUAAAAAUUUAAUUUAAUUUGAACAAUUUUUAAUACAUGCCACUUUCAUCACAUGAGAAACAAUCAAUAUAUUUAAAAUAUUUCAAAAAUAAAAAAUUCAAUCACAAAUUUUUUUAGAAAAUACAAAUGUAAUAAAAUAAAGAAUGAAAAAUAUUUAAAAUUAAAAAGUUUCAUUUUUUUAAUUUUAAAAAAUAAAAUAAAACAUAUAUAUUCUAAAAUUCAUGAAAUUUCAAAAACUGCAUAAAUAUUUAAAAAAAAUAUGUAAAAAACAGAAUAUGCAAAUUGUUUAAAAAAAUUCAAAGAAUUAUACUUUUUAACAUUUUAUAUUUAAAAUUCAUAGAAACUAAAACUUUUUGGUUUUUGAAUUUUUAAAAACUAAAAAUCAUAAUUUUUGGAAAAAAAUACUUCAAACAAAAUAAAAAUACGAAACUAUUUCUAAAAAUCUGGGAAAAGUAAAAAUUAAAAAAAUCAAAUAAUUAUAUUUUAAAAAAUAGGAAAUUUUGAAAAUCAAAUUAAUUUUUUUUCUUUUAAAUAUCACAUUUUAAGAUGAAAUAUAAUUCAAGGAUAAAAUAGUAUAUUUGCCCAAGAUAAAGAUUAUUAUUAUUAUUAUUAUUAUUUAGUGACAACAGUUUUUGGGCCUUCAAGCAGUGAUUGAUUUCUAUAAAAAUAAGAGAAUGUUCUCAUAUGAUAACUUGUCCUAAUCAUAGCCCCAUAUAUUUCGGCCUAAUACUACAUUUAUAGAAUGAAUAAGUUGCUUAAUUUCACUUUUAUAUAUGUAAAUAUUAUAUAUAUUUUUUCCAAAUAUAUUUUCCCCAAAAAUGCUUAAGUGAUAGUAGCGAUUAAUUAUUUGUAAUUGGGUUAAUGGUAUGGAUGGCCCUGUACUUUGGGGUUUGAUCUAGCGUGGUAUCUAAAGUUUCAAAAUGUUCAAUUAAGUAUUUGUACUUUAUUUUCGUUAACCGAUGUUGUAACACUUCAUACUAGGCUCGAUCGUUGAGUUCAAGUUAUGGGAUGUCACAUUCAUUAUCGAAGCAACUAUGAUCACACUAACAAAUCAAAUAAACAAUUUACGCAUGUCAUUAAGCUCAAUUCAUAUUUACAAUAUGUUAUAUAAUUAAAAUUGGGAUUUAGACGAGUUUACGAAAACUCCUUCAAUAAACUAAGAUCAUAUGAGGAAUAAAAUGUGAAAUAUUCAAAACUAUUGAUUUGGCAUCGCGACGUCAAGGGUCUGAAGUUGCAAUGUCACCUACUAUUUCCCAAGUAGCCAACUGGUACCAACUCAUAUUAGCCUAUAACAUAUUCAAACCAUUUGAGCAUAAUACACAUUCUAAACACUUCAUAUACCACCAAUCUUAUGACAUUACUAACCAAAUUAACAAAUUCACCAUUCACAAACUAAACCAAACCAUCAUGAUUUCAAAAUGACCAUUACAUUACACAACAGACUCAAACUUUAGGUACAUUUCAUAUAACAAAAUAUAAGAAACUAUACAAACGUUACUAAGUCAAAAGUUGCAGAUCGGUUGCUAGAUUAUUCCUCUAGUUUUCGAGAUCUGCAAAUAUCUGCACACGGAAUAAAUAAAUUUUACGUUGAGCGAUAAAACUUAGUGGUACUUUCAUGAUUCAAGUCAAUAAAAACAAAAAUAUUAACAUAAAAAGUACAUAAUCAUUAUAUGACCAAGUUUCAACCAUUUCAUUUACUAUUCAUGUAUAAUGUCAAAAUUAUGCACAUUCUCAUUUUACAAACCAUAUGCAUAUUUCAUAUAUAUGAAUAAAUACAUACCAAUUUCAUCAACAUUCCAUAGCCCUUAUUUUACUCUUGUCAUCCUAGGUUGCUCGGCAACGAUGACUUUUAGAAUUCGAAUGUUCUACCAUCUUGGGUGGCUAGGUAAUGAUGGUUCUCACGAUUUAGAUUUUCUACCAUCCUAGAUGGCCCAACAACAAUGGCUUUCACUAUUUGUAUAUUCUACCAUCUCGAAUGUCUCAACAAAAAUUCUAAAAUUUUUUAUUUAAAAAAAUAUAUAAAUAAUCUAAAUAAUAUAUAAAGAAAGUUAAAAUUUUGAAAAUUUUCUAAAACAAUAAUUUUGGGGUCUAAAUAAGUUAAUUAAUUAUUCAAGUUUGUCAUAUUAAAGUUUCUUAUUUAUUAUUAUUUUGCUUUAAAAAAAUUUUCAAAUAUAUAUGGUUUCAAAUUUAUAUACUCUCUAACAUUAAAAUAGUUAUAUUGUAACAAGAAUUUAAUUAAACAUUUUAUAUUUUUUUAAUUUAACUCAAACAAUUUCACUCGAUUCUACUUAAAUUGAAUUUCAUUUCACUCGACUCGAUUUAAAAAAUUUUCAAAUCGAGUUAAGAUGAUAAAAUAGGACUUAUUAACUCAAUUAACUUAAAUUUUUUUCACUCGAUUCGAUGGAACACUCAUCCCUAGUUUUGACCACUCAACUUUUAAAACGUAUGUAAUGGCCAUUACUAAUUGUUACAUUGGUGCCACUCAUUUAUUAUCUCACAUUAAAAUGAUGACGUGACACGUUAAUUUAAAGGGUUAAGAACUAAUUUUGUCCUUAAAAUAUAAAUAUAUAUGUUUUUCAUAUUUAAAUUUUUUUAAUAAUUAUUCUAAAAAAAUUUUAAAAUUUUAAAAAUAAACUAAAAUUAUUAAAAAUAUAAAAUGUAUUAUAAAGAUUAAAUAAAAAAUUUAUAUUAAUAUUAAAUAAAAUAAAAACCCUCUCAACCGUCAAUAAGGUCAAGGUGUUGCAAUCUCUGAAAAUCAAUGUUGUAAGGGAUGUAAGGAAAUGGAUACCUUGAGGCAAAUAUUUCAGGUUCUGGCGUCUAGUAAUGGCUAAAAGCCUCAAAAGGAUUAAGCGCCCCACUCCAUUCUCGGGUAGAAACCUCUGUUUCGUGGUUAUCGAUUGCAUAGUGAGAUCGCUCAAGUUCUGUACAUCUCUUGGCAACUCUUCAACAGUCGUACACCCAUCAAGUAUCAAAGUCUGCAAAUUUUUUAGCAAGUAAAAUUUGGGAUUUCCUUAACUCUUUCAUUCUUGGCGGUGGGGGGUGGGAAGGAGAUGGAGGGGAAGGGGAGACAGUGGCGGAAAGGGAGAGGGACGACGGGGGGAAGACGGUGGGGGAGGGUUUAUUUCAUUUUAUAUUAAUAUAAAUAUUAAAAAAAUUAUAUUGCAUUUUAUAUUUUUAUUAUUUUUUAAAAUAUCAUAAUAAUAUUUUAAAAUUAUAUCACUUGACCUUUUUUUCUUGACGAAAGUCAAGACAUUACAAUUUCUCAGCGGCCUAACACAUGUUAACGAUCCAACGUGGCAAAAUAUUAUUGGUUAGAAGGUAUAGAAUGAUUACCUGUAUCCAGACUGUAUUCAGUGCCGACGAAAGAAAUCCUUGUUUCUAAUGACAGAUUUAAUUUCGUCGGCAAGGAUACGCAAUCUCCAUUUGCCGUCGUUUUAAUCACGUGGUAGAUCUAAAACUUUAAAAGGGGAAAUAUUUUUGUUUUCACGUGUCCAACAAACGAAAGGUUGAUUUAUGAGUUGUCGCCUUUCCGUGGUGAAAGCAAUUAGUUCUCUUCACCGACACUCUCUUCGCCAUCAAUUUUGUCAUGUUAUUACGAUGAAGACAAUAUUAAAUAUACAAUCAAUACUGUCUAUAAUAAUAAAUAAAUAAUUUUAUAUAUCAAUUUAAAUUUAAUGUAAUUUACACAUAAAAUAUUUUAAUUAUAUACAUAAAACUUUAAUAUUUAUUUAAUUAUAUUUAUUUAAAGAAAUAAAUAUAGUAAUUUAUUAUUGAUUGGAUCUUAACUUAGUUAAUAUUGACAUUAUUGUCAAAAUAAAAGAAUAUAAUUUCGAGCGUGUUAAAGUGUAUUUAUCUUUUUAUUUAAAUCUUGUGGGGAGGUGAUUAUCUUAAAGAAUUACUUUUUGUUAAAUCUAUAUUUUGUAAAAUAAAAAAUAGGUAAAUUAUACUCAAAGGUCACUAAAUUAUUAGUAAAUUUAUAUUUUGGUUAUUCAAUUUCAACAAUUUUAACAAGUUUUCAUUUAAGUUGUUAGGUUGUAAAAUCGCUAUAUGACAUUCUCUAUUUACACCAAUUACACAAAUCAAAAGCUCUUUCAUUCCCCUUCUCUUCUACAAUUAACUUUUUUUUUUAUUAAAUAGUUUUGAACGUUACAAAUUUGUGAGUUAAAAUCCAAAUAAUUUUCUUCUCUGAUCUCUAAUACUAACCAUUAGGACUACUUAGAUUUAGGAUAUUCUAUUCUACGCACCAAUGGGUAUUGAUUCACUGUACUGAUAGUCGAAUCAUCUAUUGGAGCUUACUAGAUAAAUUUAAAAAAAAAACUUAACAGCUUAAUGACUUAAAUGAAAUCUUUCGAAUAGUUUAAUAAUUAUUUUGUAAUUUUUUAAAAUUAAAUAAUUAAAACAUAAUAAUCAUCAAAAUUCAUUAAAUUUUUGGAAUGAGAAAAGAUGUUUUCUAAUUUAAUUUAAAAUUGAAAAACAAAACAUACUUCUAUUUUAGUGGGUAUCAAUUCUUCGUCAUGAACAAUGGAAUCACCCUUUCCGUUUCGUGCAAUACAAGCUGUAGAUGUUGGUACCUCAUGCUGCAAAAUGUUGUACGCCCAGGGCUUCCAAAAAAGGCAGUUAAUUAUAGCGGGUAUUUAUUCCCUUUCUUGAACCCUCCUAAAAUUCCCCUCCCAACUGCCUUUGCUUUCCCAAUAAGCAUCCCUUCAGUAAUUUACAACCUAUUUUUAUUCUCUUAAUAAUAAAUUUAGCAUUUUAAUUUUUUUUAUUAAUUUAGUUCUUAUUUUUUAAAUUAAUUUUAUAUUUUAUUUGGUUAAAUUUUUUAUAAUUUUUAAAUUAUUUAUCGAUGUAAUAUAUAAAAAAUAAUAUUAUAUCAACAUAAAAUACACGUGAAUUAUCAUAUAUCUUGUCAUACCAACAUUGUUAAAAGAAUUAAAUUUUAAUCAAUAUUUUUGUUAAAAAAAUAAUUUGACAUUUUUAAAAAAAUUAAUAAUCUAAUUUAAUUAAAAAAAUAAGAAUUAGAUUGACAAAAUAUAUAAAUAUUAUGAACUAAAUUUGUCAUUAUAAUUUUUUUAAAUAUUAAUAUAUAAAAUCGAAAUAAAUAAAUUUUUUUCUUUUUCUUUUGACAAAGAGGGUGAAAACACAUUUUCAAAGUUAAGGUGAUGUGUCAGUUUCUUAUUGAAAUUACAUUUUUUAAAAAAUACAUAUUUUUUCUUCAAAUUUAAUCAUUUGCCUUGCUUGUUCAAUAAUAUAGUGUUUUUUCUGUAUAUUUAGCUACAAGGGGAGUUUGAAGAAGAGAAAGAACAAAGCAAAAGGAAAAAUAGAAGAAGCCUUUGUUUGGGGUUCUUCAACUUAGCUUUCCAUAUAUUCAUCCAUGGCUUCAAAGCUUCUUUUGAUUGCUGUAUUUGUUCUUGAUCUCAUUGCUUUUGGUUUAGCUGUUGCAGCUGAGCAAAGAAGAAGCACUGUAAGUUUGCUAACUUUCCCCUUCACUUUCUUUUAUGGAUUUGGUUGUUUUGGUUCACAAUUAGUUCAUACGAUUUCUGGGUAUACUGAAAGUUUGCAACCUUUUUUUCCUGGAAAUCGAAGGAAAAUGAAAGAAAGUGAGUCCUUUUGUUUGAAAAAAAGCGGUAAAUCUUGAUUUUAGCUUUCUGGGUUUUUUGUUUCAUGUAAGAAUUUUCUGGGAAAGAAAAGAAACACUGUAUUCAAGCUUGAUCUUUUGUGUGUCUGUAUAUAUACACAUACACAUACACAUACACAUACACAUACACAUACACAUACAUAUAUAUGUAUUCUCUUUCUGCUAAUCAAAUAGUAACGGAAAUUGAUUUCAUCAUUUUUAUAAUUCUCAAUUGUGUAUGAACUUCACCAGAUCUCAGCUGAAUUUCUAUAAAAAUAGUAGAUCUGAGUUUAUGGUUUUUAUCCUCUGUCACUAACUUAAAAAAGGUGCCUGGUCCCCUUGGUUAAAUUGUGCAACUUUAACUUUAGCCGCUCCAAAAUGUUAAUAAUUCAAUUUAAUCCCUUUGUUAGAUUGAAAAUUUACAUUUUUGCUCCUUUCAAAAAGUUAAAAAAUCAAUUAAGCCAUUUUAAUACAGAACUUUUAUAAAUUCUUUAGCUUUUUGAACCCCAAACUUUUAUAAAUUUACCCCAUCACAUUGGCUUUUCACCCCAGGGUCUAAUGGAAGAACUAGUCUUUGCUAGAUUUAGAAGCCAAACUGUUUCAUCUUUUGAAACAAUAUUUUAUGAUCUAAUUGGUGAUGUUGACUAAAUUAUUGACAACCAAGCUUCAAGAUCUUGCUUUUUGUUUAUUGUACCCUAUAUGAUAGUUUAAUAUAAAGUAUGAUAGCUGAUCUUCUAACACGUUCUAGUAUUCUAAUAAAUAAUCAAAGGGUAAAAGUCUCAUGAAGGUUCUUGUACUAUGAGUCAGAUUGUAUUUUGCCUCUUCUACUUAAAAAAUGGGCAAGUUAGUACAUGUACUUUAGAUCAAAGAGUAAAUUAGUUCUUCUGUUAAAGUUUUCAUUUAUUUCUACUGUUAAAAACUAGUCUUUGCACGUCAGCACGAGAUACAUGUGGCGUUUGCUAUGUUAGUUGUUAACAAUAAAAAUGGAUAAAAAUUUCAACAUGAAAGACCUGUUUGCUCUUUAAUCUAACAUAUAGGAAUUAGUAUGCUUAUUUUCUGAGUAGAGGAGACAAAAUACAAUCUGAUUCAUAAUAUAAGGGCCUCCAUGAUACUUUUAUCGGGAUCAAAGGUAUAUAUCCAACAUGAGAAGAAUUUUUUAUUCCGCUUCAACUCAAAGCAGCUAACAUUGGGUGUAUGUUUAAUGGCAGGCCAAGAUUGUGCAGGAUAAUGAAAUUCAAUACAACUAUUGUGUAUAUAACUCAGACAUAGCAACUGGCUAUGGUGUUGGUGCAUUUUUGUUCCUCAUGGCUAGCCAAGCCCUUAUAAUGGUUGCCAGCCGAUGCUUUUGCUGUGGAAAGGCUUUGAACCCUAGUGGUUCAAGGGCUUGGGCAGUCAUCCUUUUCAUUGUUUGCUGGUAUGUAACCAACUUUAGGUCAAAUUUAUGGUUUUUGCUUAUUUGAAUGGUUUCACUCAUUCUUUGAAUUGCAUGUGUAUGACAGGUUAUUUUUCCUAAUAGCCGAGAUAUGUUUGUUGGCCGGAUCAGUACGGAAUGCAUACCACACAAAAUACCGGACCAUCUUCAGCGAGCAGCCACCGUCUUGUGAAACUUUGAGGAAGGGAGUGUUUGGUGCAGGGGCUGCCUUCAUUUUCUUGACUGCUAUUUUCAAUAAGUUCUACUAUAUUUGCUAUUCAAAUGCUAGGGAAAACAGCUUCCGGCCAUACGGUGGCGGCGGAGAGGCUGGUGUCGGCAUGGGAGCCUACAAAUAAGCUAUGACCUCAUGAACUCUAUGCCAUUGCCAUCAUUUUGCUUACUUCGUUGUCUGUUUUUUUUCUUUUCUUUUUUGACUUCCAUUUCGUGUUCUUUAAGGUUUCGAUAUAGGAGAUAGAUCGUAUUUCAUAUAAUAUUCAUAAAUUUUUUAAUUUCAUUUUCGUCCCCAGUCCAAGGUUCUGUAAAAUUUUGUGAAGUUUCUUGUAUACAAUCAAAUAACAAAAAGAUUGGCAUUUGUUUUCCAGCUCUUCAUGCAAUGCUGGUUAUGUAUUUUUGAAUGAAUGACAUGAUCUUUAAUGGGGUUUGCUUGCUAUUUGUUAAACAAAUAAACCCAAGCCUGAUUUAGAAGGCCCUUGUCUUCUCAAUGGUCAAGUUUCAAUUUUUGUCACAGUUUCAAUUUUGGUCCCUAUAGUAAGCUUCAAUUUAAGAUUUAAUCUUUAUACUUCAACUUCUUGGCAUAAUUUAGUACCUCAAUUUUUACAAUGUCAUUGAUUAGCAUAAAUGUUUUAUUUUAAUUAAAGUAAGGAUAUAAUUUUUAAGAGUUAAUACCAUUAAAAUUAUCUAUUAAAAUCACGUCCAUUAAAAUGCUUUUUUUUGUUACAUGGUUACUAUUUGAGUAUUUAAAAAAAAAUUAAAAUAUCAUUUCAAUGAGUUCAACAAAAAAAUUUAAUGGUGCCAACAAUUGGAGUUGAAUUUUUAAAUUAAAAAAAGAGGGAUUAAAUUCUUAAAAAUUAAAGUAGGAAGACUAAAAUCUAAAUACUCAAAGAGUACAGAAACUUGAAAUAUAUUUUAACUUUCAAAUAUUUUUCUAUAAUUUGAUCAACAAACAAUUAACUCAAUUUGAAACGUGGUAGAGGACCAUACUAGUUUAAACUAAUUGUGACGUCUUUGUGUAUUUUUCUUUUGUCACAAAGUAUUUUAGAUUUAUAUAACUUUUCACAAGUUCAAUAAUUUGUAUUACAUUAAGUUUGAUAUGUUCAUAUAAUCGGUAAAAGUAUCACUAAACUUCUUGUACUAUAUUUUAGAUUGCAUUAUAUCUCUUUUACUAAAAAAAAGAGAGUAAAUUAGUCACAGUAUAUUAGAUGAGUGAGCAAAACAGUUCUUCCGUUAAAAUUUAGUGCUUAUAUAUAAUGUAUAAUAACAAAUUUAACUCUUAAUCUUUACACAUUUAUUCAAUUUGACUCCUACUAUUUUCUUGGAAAUAAAUUGGAAAAUUUUGAAUCUAAAGAGGAUGAAGGGUAAAAAAAUAGUAACAAAUUAAGAAAAAUAAUUAAGCCUUUUAAAAUUUAAAAAUUAUUAAAUAAAUCAUGAAAAUUAUAAAAAAAAUUAUAAAAAUCUUAAAUUUAUAAAUUCUUUAUUAAAAAAAUAACAAUACCAACUGCUAAAAUCUAAUGGUUAUAAGAUUUUUUUUAAAAAUAGACCUCUAUUUUUUUAUUGAGUCAGUAUUGUUAUUUUUUAAUGAAACUUUUAUAAUUUUAAAAUUUUUUGAAUUUUUUUUAUAAUUUUUAUGUUUUUUAAUAAUUUUAAAUUUUAGAAGGGUUUAUUUUUUUUUUUAAUUUGUAACUAAGGUCUUUUUUAGUCCUUUAGCCUUAUUAGUUUGAAAAUAUUCUAAUUUACUUCCGAUAAAAGAGUGGGGUCAAAUUGAAUAAGUGUAAAGGUUGAAGGCUAAAUUUAUUAUUAUACUUUAUAUAUAAAUACCGAAAUUAGCAUUUGUGGUGCAACUUUAACAGAGAAACUAUUUUGUUCACUCAUCUGAUAUAGAAAUUAAUUUACCCAUUUUUCCGAUAAAAAAACUAAAAUAUAAUCUAUAAUACAAUACAGAAGGUUUUGUACUGCUUUUUACCUUAUAUAUUUAUAUCAUAUUUAUUUUUCUUUUCAUUUUAUAUUAUGUAAUAUUUCUACUAUAUUUUUUCCCCAUAUUAUACCAACAUUACUAGAUAUCUAAUCAUGCAAGUCACACAUUACUCAUUUCCAGACAUGGCGGUAGCAUGUUGUAUCUAUUUCAUUCAUUGUCGAACACCCCAGCUCACCUAUCUACACUUUUACUUCAAAAUAUAAAUCAAUUUAUUAUUACCAUUAUAUCAGAAUAAUAUUAUAAAUUUAAUUUUUGUAUUUGUUAUAAAUUACAUAAUAUAUAAAAAUAAUAUAAUAUAAUAUAUUACACUUAGAAACAAACCCGACUAAAUCUUUGAACAUGAACCUGACCUAUAUUUUAAUCAGGCUUAAUUAAUUAUCCAAGUCCAUUUUGCAGGUAUAAUAUUUUUUACUUAAACUCUCUUAAAUUUUAAAUGAACUUUCGAACUUGGACGAGUAGUACUAAUUAAUUAAAAUAUCUAGUUACAUAUAGUAACUAGAAAAUCCAAAUCCAAAUAUCAUCUGAAUGUACACAAAACUAAUUUUACGCUUAUUUUUAAUGACCUUGGUUCAUUUUACUUUAACCAAAAUUGAAACAAUAAUAACUAAUGAAUAAAAUUAUCUGGUUCUUUGAUAUAUUCUUCCAAUAACAUUUCAACUAUAUUUUUUUGGGUAUUUUCAUAUCCGUUUUACGAUUCAAGUUUGAAGUUCACGAAACAUUUCAACUAUAAUUUGCCAAUUAUAUUUUAUUUAUUUAUUUAAAAAAAAGUUAUAUUUAUAAUAAUUUUACUAUACUUUUUCUUUUAUAAUUUUGGUGAGAUUUACCCCUAACCCAUAAAAAAUAGUAAGAUGCUUUAAUAAAAAAAUAUAUUUCUUUCUUUUUUUUUUUUCUAUCACUUCGAUCAAAAAAGAAAACGUAUCCACUUAUUGUUGUUUACCAAUUUCAAUUUAUUUAUUCGAAAAUAAAUAAAAAAUUAAUUUACAAGAAAAUGCAUUAAUUUAUUAUUAAAUAAAAUAGUUGCAUAAUAAAAACAAAAACAAAAGUAAAUUUUAUGAGGAUAAUUUAGUGCUUCUAUAAAUAGGUUUACAUGUAACUAACAAGUCUACAAUAUCUAAAAAAAAAAAAACUCACUAAGCUGAUUAUUAGCAACAAAGUUUGACAAAACAUUCUGUCAAGGAUCCAGCUAACUCUAAUAUAAUAGGUUAGCUUUGAAUCAAGGUGAAUCAAUGUUCAACACUCCCCCUUCUUCAAAGCUACAACCAGCAAAUUGUUCUUUGAAAAGGUCGUGUUUUGCUUGCGGAUUCAAUUUUGUAAAAAUGUUGGCAACUUGCUCAUUUGUAUCGCAAGCCUUUUAAAUAAUUUUUCUGUAAAAAUAAGGCUUCAAAUAAAAUGAUAAUAAAUAUUGAUGUACUUGACUCUACCAUUAAAAGCUAGUUUUUUUUUUUUUGCCAUAUCAAUCUUUUGUCAUAAAAUAUCUCCUUUACACGUAUCUGUUUUUGAUUAAAAUAUGCAAGAAUUCUCCUUAGCGAAACUACUCGACAAGCUGAAGAUGUUGCAGAUGUUGCAGCUACAGUAUAUAUAUAUUUUUUAAUUUGUUGAGAGAUAUUUAUUUUAAAUUUUUAAUAUUUUGAUGUAUUAUAUUUAAAAAAAAUUAAUAUGAGUGGGUUGGGCUCAAUUUUAGCAUUUUAUUUAGAUCGGGCUUAGACAAAAUUUUAGACUCAUUUUUCGGGUUAGGUCCAGGCCUAGCAAACGGAUCUAAAAUUUUAGUUGGGUCCGACCUAAACUCAGCCUGACUCAUGGACACUUCUAAUUCCACAUGUAUUAAUUGAUUUAUUUAUGAUUAAAAUUAUCUAAUUCGAUACUGAAGUCUUUUUGUUUAUAUUUUUAAGAAGUUAGUUGCAUUAAAGUAAUAAAAAAUAAAAAAUUUAAACAUAUAAUAUGUAAUAAAAAAUAUAUAAAUAAUUUUUCACUCUAACUAUCAUAAUUUUAGUUUUUAAUUAAUUUGGUACAUGAAUUGAUUCUAAAUUAAAUUAUUAGUGAUAAAUAUUGCUUAUUAUGGAUUUAAAAACUCAAAACAAAUAAUUAAAAGUAAAUAGAACACAUAAUAAUCUCUUAAUUAGUUUAUAAAAUAAAAAAAUCAUUAUUAAUGUAACAAAAAGGAAAUUCAAAUAACUCUCACAUUUUUUUUUUGUUAUGAAAAAAUAAAGUUUCAUAAUUUUUUCUUAUAUAGUUAUUGAUUGAACAAUUGGAUUUUUCGAAACCAUAUUUUUUAACUCUAGAUUUAAUUUUUAAUUUCAAGGACCAACUUCGAGGACUAUUUUUAUGUACCUUGAAAGAAAUAUCAUAUUGGCAACAACAAAAGUAAAUCUAAAGUGUUUUUUUUUUUUAGGUUUUCCCAUUUUCUUUAGCCAAAAUUUUAUUAAUCAAAGAAUUAUAAAACAUUAUAUUCAGAAUAAAACUAAUGAAAAAAAAAAGAGAAAGAAAUAAAGUUUCAAGACAAAUUCAUUGGUAUCAAGAUUGGCUCGGAAAACGACUCAUUAGAUGAAAGAGUUUUUUUUUUUGAAUUUAUUGAAUUAUAUAGAAUUAAGAUUAAAUUUAUAGAGUAUGUAAGUAUUGAUGACUAAAUGUGUUAUUAUACUAAUUAAAAAAAGGCUUUUUGUUAUCAAUUAACAGUGGGUGACUAAAACAGGAAUGCGGGCAUAAUUGGUUUACCAUUUGUAUAAUUUACCUUUUUUUUAAAUAUUCUAGGGAUGGAAUUUUUAAAUUUUAUAAGGAAAGUUAAAAAAUUAUUAUAUUCCUUAUUUAUUUAGUUUUUUUUUUAAAUUUUUUAACCAAUUAAAGACAUUUAGUGGUUUCUUAAAUUUACUUGUAGAUUUUAAAAAGUUCAUCCUAACUAAAAUAUGUAAGAAAAAUAUAAAUCAACGAAUAGCUACUUCUUGGAUAAAAUUUCAGCUACAUGGACACAGGAAAGAAUUGUGUACAUUGGACACAAUCCAUGAAUUGAUAUAGAUUUUCUCAGUUGAUAUAAUAAUUUGAAUCAAAUUACAUAUAUUUCAAAUUUUUAAUAAAUUAUUGAUUUGUACUAGUUGGACCAAACUUGCCACUCUCAUUCCAGAAACAUCGGCUCCCCCCUCCAAAUUCAAACCCCUCCCUAAUCCAUUCCACUGUACCUGACCAUAGACCACUCCCUAUCCCUUUCAAUCUUCCGAUAAACCAGCCCAUAACUAAAGGGGGUGGAACAUCCUUGGUGGGUGGGGACAACUCCAAAAUAUCCCCAUACUCAGGGACUAAAACAUUAUUAAAAUGUUUCAGGAAAUCCCAAACUCAAUGCUCAUUGGCUACAUUGAAUUGAUGUGGCAGAUAAGUUUACCCUCCUUAAUUAUCUUAUCUUUUCAUACCUGUCACUAUUUAAUAUCUUUGCUCGUUUCCCACAAUGAACGAACACUCACUUCUACUACUAAGCUCACCCUUCACUUUGGUCCACUACACAGCCAUUUCAAAGUGGUACAUACAUGGCUCUACAAGCUGCUGCUUUGGUUCCAGCUACUUUCUCUGUACCAAAAGAGGUUUGUUUUCAUCUUUGUACUGAAGAACUGGUUCUUGUUUUUUUCUGAUUCAAUUUGGGGUUUUUGACAUUUUGGGUUUCUAAUUUGUAGGGAAAGUCUGGUGCUUCUUUCAAGGAUUCAUCUCUCUUUGGAGUGUCACUUUCUGAUCACAUCAAAGCUGACUUCACCUCUUCUGCUUUAAGAUGCAAGGUUGGGAUUCUGUGUUCUUUAAAUUGGACAACUAUGGUGUUUAUGCUGUUUUUGUGCCUUUAAUUGAGCCUUUUUCCUUUGUAGAGGGAAUUCAACCAUAGAACUGGGGCUGUUAGAGCCCAAACAACAGCCACUGCAACACCAGCAAUCACCAGAUCUACAGUGGAUGGAAAGAAAACACUAAGAAAGGGUAGUGUGAUCAUCACUGGUGCCUCCUCUGGAUUGGGUUUAGCCACUGCAAAGGCCUUGGCUGAAACUGGGAAAUGGCAUGUUAUAAUGGCUUGCAGGGACUUUCUCAAGGCUGAGAGAGCUGCUAAGUCUGCUGGAAUGUCAAAAGAAAACUACACCAUUAUGCAUUUAGACCUUGCCUCCGUCGACAGUGUCCGACAAUUCGUCGAUAGCUACAAGCGAUCAGGCCGACCUCUUGAUGUACUUGUUUGCAAUGCUGCUGUUUAUCAACCAACUGCCAAGGAACCCACUUUCACUGCUGAAGGAUUUGAACUUAGUGUGGGGACUAAUCACCUCGGUCACUUCCUUCUUUCGCGGUUAUUGCUCGAUGAUUUGAAACAAUCCGAUUAUCCAUCGAAACGCCUCAUCAUCGUCGGUUCCAUAACAGGUAAUUUGCUAUACAAAUGUCAUUCAAAAUGAGCAUUUUUGUAUGAAAUUGUGGUAUUGGUGUACUAAUAUGGAAUGAAUCAGGAAACACAAAUACAUUGGCCGGUAAUGUACCUCCGAAGGCAAACCUUGGGGAUCUAAGAGGACUUGCAGGUGGACUAAAUGGACUGAACAGCUCUGCCAUGAUUGAUGGUGGAGAUUUUGAUGGUGCCAAAGCAUACAAGGACAGCAAAGUCUGCAAUAUGCUCACUAUGCAAGAAUUC